GACGGAGGAUGCAAGCGUUAUCCGGAAUGAUUGGGCGUAAAGCGUCCGCAGGUGGCAGUUCAAGUCUGCUGUCAAAGACCGGGGCUUAACUUCGGAAAGGCAGUGGAAACUGAACAGCUAGAGUAUGGUAGGGGCAGAGGGAAUUCCUGGUGUAGCGGUGAAAUGCGUAGAGAUCAGGAAGAACAUCGGUGGCGAAGGCGGCUACCUGGACAGUGACUGACGCUGAGACGCGAAAGCAUGGGUAGCAAACAGG
This 253-nucleotide ribosomal RNA is filed under the name uncultured bacterium. RNAcentral's name for it is "partial 16S ribosomal RNA". It matches the Rfam family "Bacterial small subunit ribosomal RNA", at positions 524 to 776 of the family's 1533-position model. The record is from RNAcentral.